AGAGUUUGAUUAUGGCUCAGGAUGAACGCUAGCUACAGGCUUAACACAUGCAAGUCGAGGGGCAUCAGGAUCUUAGCUUGCUAAGAUUGCUGGCGACCGGCGCACGGGUGAGUAACGCGUAUCCAACCUUCCCUGUAGUAGGGGAUAGCCCGGAGAAAUCCGGAUUAAUACCCUAUGUUAUUCAAAGAUGACAUCUGAUUUGAAUCAAAGGCUUGCCGCUACAGGAUGGGGAUGCGUCUGAUUAGGUUGUUGGCGGGGUAACGGCCCACCAAGCCAUCGAUCAGUAGGGGUUCUGAGAGGAAGGUCCCCCACAUUGGAACUGAGACACGGUCCAAACUCCUACGGGAGGCAGCAGUGAGGAAUAUUGGUCGAUGGGCGAGAGCCUGAACCAGCCAAGUAAGCGUGCAGGAUGACGGCCCUAUGGGUUGUAAACUGCUUUUAUGCGGGGAUAAAGUGGGGGACGUGUCCCUUUUUGUAGGUACCGCAUGAAUAAGGACCGGCUAAUUCCGUGCCAGCAGCGGC
Molecule: ribosomal RNA, 522 nt
Filed under: uncultured bacterium
Lineage: Bacteria
Description: bacterial SSU rRNA
Rfam family: Bacterial small subunit ribosomal RNA
Source: RNAcentral